RNAcentral lists this transfer RNA (75 nucleotides) under Actinomycetota bacterium. RNAcentral's name for it is "Actinobacteria bacterium tRNA-Gln". It matches the Rfam family "tRNA". Rfam says of the family: Transfer RNA (tRNA) molecules are approximately 80 nucleotides in length. Lineage: Bacteria; Bacillati; Actinomycetota. The record is from RNAcentral.
UGGGAGGUGGUGUAACUGGCAACACGCCGUCCUUUGGAGUCGGUGUUCAGGGUUCGAUCCCCUGCCUCCCAGCCA